RNAcentral lists this ribosomal RNA (548 nucleotides) under uncultured bacterium. Its description in RNAcentral is "bacterial SSU rRNA". It matches the Rfam family "Bacterial small subunit ribosomal RNA", at positions 241 to 803 of the family's 1533-position model. The record is from RNAcentral.
UUAGCUAGUUGGUGGGAUAACAGCCCACCAAGGCAACGAUCCAUAGCCGGCCUGAGAGGGUGAACGGCCACAUUGGGACUGAGACACGGCCCAAACUCCUACGGGAGGCAGCAGUGGGGAAUAUUGCACAAUGGGCGAAAGCCUGAUGCAGCGACGCCGCGUGAAGGAUGAAGGUCUUCGGAUUGUAAACUUCUAUCAGCAGGGAAGAAAGAAAUGACGGUACCUGACUAAGAAGCUCCGGCUAACUACGUGCCAGCAGCCGCGGUAAUACGUAGGGAGCGAGCGUUAUCCGGAUUUACUGGGUGUAAAGGGUGCGUAGGCGGUUUGUUAAGUCAGAAGUGUAAUUUAAGGGCUCAACCUUUAAGCUGCUUCUGAAACUGAUGAACUAGAGUAUAGGAGAGGAAAGCGGAACUCCACGUGUAGCGGUGAAAUGCGUAGAGAUGUGGAGGAACACCAGUAGCGAAGGCGGCUUUCUGGACUAUUACUGACGCUGAGGCACGAAAGCGUGGGGAGCAAACAGGAUUAGAUACCCUGGUAGUCCACGCCGU